This 72-nucleotide transfer RNA is filed under the name Ornithorhynchus anatinus (platypus). It matches the Rfam family "tRNA". Rfam says of the family: Transfer RNA (tRNA) molecules are approximately 80 nucleotides in length. Lineage: Eukaryota; Metazoa; Chordata; Mammalia; Monotremata; Ornithorhynchidae. The record is from Rfam by way of RNAcentral.
AGCAGUGUGGCUCAGUGGAAAGAGCCUGGGCUUCGGAGUCAGAGGUCAUGGGUUCGACUCCUGACUUUGCCA